UUAAGUUCAGCGGGUAUUCUUACCUGAUUUGAGGUCAAUUAUUGAAAAAUUAUAGAUAUGAAAUACCUUUAAAAUAUAGGUCAUACCUAGUAGGUAUUUGCAUUAAAAGACGCAAUAAAAAUAAUUCUAAGUACGUCUAAAUACAAAAUAAAUCAAUUUUAAGUCACUUAACCUAAAAGUUAAGAUAACUCAACUCCGAUGCAUUACUCAAAAAAAGCAAUACUCCGAUUGUUAUUAAAAUGACCCUCAAACAGGCAUACUCCCCGAAGAGAGUGCAAUUUGCGUU
RNAcentral lists this unclassified non-coding RNA (286 nucleotides) under uncultured Rhizophagus. RNAcentral describes it as "sequence contains 5.8S rRNA gene, ITS2, 28S rRNA gene". The record is from RNAcentral. Lineage: Eukaryota; Fungi; Glomeromycota; Glomeromycetes; Glomerales; Glomeraceae.